CAGGGAGCUUGCUCCGCUGACGAGUGGCGAACGGGUGAGUAAUGUAUCGGAACGUACCUUUCAGUGGGGGAUAACGUAGCGAAAGUUACGCUAAUACCGCAUAUUCUGUGAGCAGGAAAGCAGGGGAUCGCAAGACCUUGGGCUGAUUGAGCGGCCGAUAUCAGAUUAGCUAGUUGGUGAGGUAAAGGCUCACCAAGGCGACGAUCUGUAGCGGGUCUGAGAGGAUGAUCCGCCACACUGGAACUGAGACACGGUCCAGACUCCUACGGGAGGCAGCAGUGGGGAAUUUUGGACAAUGGGGGCAACCCUGAUCCAGCCAUGCCGCGUGAGUGAAGAAGGCCUUCGGGUUGUAAAGCUCUUUCGGCCGGGAAGAAAUCGUAUGGGCUAAUACCCUGUGCGGAUGACGGUACCGGCAUAAGAAGCACCGGCUAACUACGUGCCAGCAGCCGCGGUAAUACGUAGGGUGCGAGCGUUAAUCGGAAUUACUGGGCGUAAAGCGUGCGCAGGCGGUUAUAUAAGACAGAUGUGAAAUCCCCGGGCUCAACCUGGGACCUGCAUUUGUGACUGUAUAGCUAGAGUACGGUAGAGGGGGAUGGAAUUCCGCGUGUAGCAGUGAAAUGCGUAGA
This 626-nucleotide ribosomal RNA is filed under the name uncultured Dechloromonas sp. RNAcentral's name for it is "bacterial SSU rRNA". It matches the Rfam family "Bacterial small subunit ribosomal RNA", at positions 72 to 694 of the family's 1533-position model. Lineage: Bacteria; Pseudomonadati; Pseudomonadota; Betaproteobacteria; Rhodocyclales; Azonexaceae. The record is from RNAcentral.